RNAcentral lists this non-coding RNA (21 nucleotides) under Arabidopsis thaliana (thale cress). Lineage: Eukaryota; Viridiplantae; Streptophyta; Magnoliopsida; Brassicales; Brassicaceae. The record is from RNAcentral.
AGCAGAUGCUUUAGGGCCUGG